AACACUGCUAUGUCUGUGUCUGUAAAACUUUCCUUUAGAACAGGGGUGGGCAAACUACGGCUUGCGGCUUGGAUCUGGCCCACCAGCCAUUUUAAGCUGGCCCUCGAGGUUGGCUGGGGAGUGGGGUCUGGAGCUUGCUCUGCUCCGGUGCUCCAGCCGGGGAGCAGGAUUGGGGGCCACUCCAUGUGGCUCCUAGAAACCGCGGCAUGGCCCUGCUCCGGCAUCCCAAUGGGAGCUGCAGGGGUGGUGCCUGCAGAUGGGGCAGUGUGCAGAGCCGCCUGACCGCACCUGCAUGUAGGAGCCGGAGAGGGAUGUGCUGCUGCUUCUAGGAGCCGCUUGAGGAAUUUCCAAUAAGUGACACCCCUGCAGUUGCUGCCCCAACACUACUCUCCAACCACUGUUGAAGAAACCACAUCUGCUCUAUCAUAUUCUUCCUAUGGAAGCAGAACUAUGGAAUAUUUUGGAUGACUGAACCACAUAAACAUCAAUUCUGCUCACGGCUGUUCCUCUGAAACCUUUCAUGAACACAGAGAGUGGAGUGGGAAUUAGAAAAUGUCGUGCCUUCCUCUGUGGCUGUGGCUUAAAUAAAGGGGAUCUUUGUUUCCGUGGCAGAAAUGUCACAAGGAGGGCAGGGCUGAAUGGAGUCCAGCAGUCGGUUACUCUUUCCUGUCUCAUGAGGUUUGUACACUCCAUCACACCCUCCUAAGCAGCACAUGAACACAGAACAUUCAAGUUCUUAUUUGAGAGGCUCUGUAUGCCCUGGUCUACACUAGGAGUUGAGGUCGAAUUUAGCAGCGUUAAAUCAAUUUAACUCUGCACCCGUCCACACAACGAAGCCCUUUUUUUUCGACUUAAAGGGCUCUUAAAAUUGAUUUCUUUACUCCACCCCCAACAAGGGGAUUAGCGUCGAAAUUGGCCUUGUCGGGUUGAAUAUGGGGUAGUGUGGACGCAAUUAAACAGUAUUGGCCUCCGGGAGCUAUCCCAGAGUGCUCCAUUGUGACCGCUCUGGACAGCACUCUCAACUCAGAUGCACUGGCCAGGUAGACGGGAAAAGGCCCGCAAACUUUUGAAUUUCAAUUUCCUGUUUGGCCAUCGUGGCAAGCUGCAGGUGAGUGCAGACCUCAUCAGCAGAGAUGACCAUGAUGGAGUCCCAGAAUCGCAAAAGAGCUCCAGCAUGGACCGAAUGGGAAGUACGGGAUCUGAUCGCUGUAUGGGGGAGGAAUCCGUGCUAUCAGAACUCCGUUCCAGUUUUCGAAAUGCCAAAACAUUUGUCAAAAUCUCCUAGGGCAUGAAGGACAGAGGCCAUAACAGGGACCCAAAGCAGUGCUGCGUGAAACUUAAGGAGCUGAGGCAAGCCUACCAGAAAACCAGAGAGGCAAACGGCUGCUCCGGGUCAGAGCCCCAAACAUUCCGCUUCUAUGAUGAGCUGCAUGCCAUUUUAGGGGGUUCAGCCACCACUACCCCAGCCGUGUUGUUUCACCACUCCAGCCAUGUCUCCUUCAAUGGAAAUGGAGGCAACACAAAAGCAGGUUUUGGGGACGAGGAAGAUAGCUCACAGCAAGGAAGCGGAGAAACCGGUUUUCCCGACAGCCAGGAACUGUUUCUCACCCUGGACCUGGAGCCAGUACCCCCCGAACCCACCCAAGGCUGCCUUCCGGACCCGCCAGGUGGAGAAGGGAUCUCUGCUGCAUGUGUUUCAAGGAUCACAGGAUCUUCUCCUUCCCAGAGGCUAGCAAAGAUUAGAAGGUGAAAAAAAUGCACUUGCGAUGAAAUGUUCUCUGAGCUCAUGCUGUCCUCCCACACUGACAGAGCACAGACAAAUGCGUGGAGGCAGACAAUGUCAGAGUGCAAGAAAGCACAAAAUGACCGGGAGGAGAGAUGGCGGGCUGAAGAGAGGGCUGAAGCUGAAAGGUGGCGGCAGCGUGAUGAGAGGAGGCAGGAUUCAAUGCUGAGGCUGCUGGAGGAUCAAACUAAUAUGCUCCAGCGUAUGGUUGAGCUGCAGGAAAGGCAGCUACAGCUGCUACAGCCCCUGUGUAACCAACUUCCCUCCUCCCCAAGUUCCAUAGCCUCCUCAUCCAGAUGCCCAAGAACGCGGUGGGGGGCCUCCAGUCACCCAGCAACUCCACCCCAGAGGAUUGCCCAAGCAACAGAAGGCUAGCAUUCAAUAAGUUUUAAACUUUUAAAGUGCUGUGUGGCCUUGUCCUUCCCUCCUCCACCACCCCUCCUGGUGCUUCUCUCCUCCACCACCUCUCCUGGGCUACCUUGGCAGUUAUCCCCCUAUUUGUGUGAUGAAUUAAUAAAGAAUGCAUGAAUG
This is a long non-coding RNA of Caretta caretta (loggerhead turtle), 2314 nucleotides long. RefSeq lists it as uncharacterized. Lineage: Eukaryota; Metazoa; Chordata; Testudines; Cheloniidae. The record is from RefSeq and is a predicted model, not a curated record.